AAUCACAUGAAAUAAAAUAAUUCUUCUUGCCCUCAAUUCUUCCCUUUGAUCCCCCUUAUUCUCUUCAUCUUUUUGUUCUUUAUCAAGUUUGUGCAGUCCUGCGUCACACACAUAUGGUGUAACAAAGCUAAAGCCAAUGUGAAACAAUAUGGAGAUUAACCGUGCUUAAGUAUAGACAGAAGUUUAACACAACUGAUCUAUUGAAGUUUUUGAAUCCUCUAUACAUUGGACGGAACUAAAGAUUUAAGAUUAGAACAUCAAUUCAACACACCUAAUGUUAACUUUCUUGUUUGACUUUGGCUUUUCCUUUAAUGCAGGACUUCAGAGUGCUCUUUCCAAGUUGGGCCGAUACUUGUGGUUAACGAGCCUUUCACGAUUGAUAGUGGCUUAAUGACUCCAACCAUGAAAAUCAGAAGAGACAAGGUUUUAUCUAAAUUCAAAGAGGAAAUAGACAAUUUAUACAAGUGAAUUGCCUAAUAUGGUCUCACCGAACUAGUAAAUGUGCAAACAUGGCUAGCAAUUUCUUACAGUGUCUGUGCAAUGUUAUAAUACUCCUUUUCUUGCUAAAUUCCUUCAUUGUAAUAUUCCUUUUGUAAUAAUAUAUCGUUGGGCUGGUUAUACACCAUAUUUUUCUAAUGUUGUCAUAUCAA
Molecule: long non-coding RNA, 650 nt
Organism: Olea europaea var. sylvestris
Lineage: Eukaryota; Viridiplantae; Streptophyta; Magnoliopsida; Lamiales; Oleaceae
Exons: 2
Source: RefSeq, a predicted model, not a curated record